This is a long non-coding RNA of Salvelinus fontinalis (brook trout), 4738 nucleotides long. RefSeq lists it as uncharacterized. The record is from RefSeq and is a predicted model, not a curated record. NCBI's taxonomy places the organism in Eukaryota, Metazoa, Chordata, Actinopteri, Salmoniformes, Salmonidae. The transcript is spliced from 4 exons.
GUAAUUGCUAAUUUACUACGUGAGUUUUAUUUGAUCGAAUAUAAGUUUCGUAAUGUUUAGGCUGUGACAAAUGUACUGAUAUAAGUGGACACACGUGCCAUCCGGUAACCUUGAUAAAAAUAUAUUUUAUAUCGGUGUUGUCUCUGUUGUACACACACGUAUUUCCACUCUCAUUGGCUAGAAUGUUCGCCUUGAGCUCGCCCCCUUCCGCCUGCCGUCCGCCUUUGCGAACAUGUAUUUCAAUCGUCAGAGCGGAUAGUUGACUAUCUUGACAAUAUAAUAUGCUCUCUUUGACAUAGGCUAGUACCCGGAAACACUCAAAUUAGUUAUGCUGCGUUCAUAAUAUGGUAAUGGGGGAAAUGAAGGCAGGACGGUCCUGUAUGGCGUCCCAGCAAAAUAAAUAGUGGGGGUACGCGGUCCCAGUAAAACGUGAGCCUUUCACAACAUGCCCAAAAAUCUAUGGGCUGCACCAUUAUUUAACAUUACGGCAUUUCAGGCCCAUUAAAAAUGUGCGAAAUGACUCGAAACCAGGUGGUGGUGUACGCACCAAAUUGUGUUGUGGUUUGAGGAGAGCACUUAUAUUUUGACGAGGCGAGAUAUUGGCUGAGACGCUCGCGGACAAGGCGGAGAUGAGCGCGUGGACAACAGAGGAUGCAUCAAUUCAGGCUACAAGUGUAGGCCUAAUGACAAUCAUAGAAUGUUAUUACAAUACACGUAGGUUUUUUGUAACAGAUAUGUCUUUCCAUUCAUCAGUGCACUGUUGGGGUUUGGGUGCUGAUAUUACUUUUUGAGUGGACGAAUGUGCGCGGGGGGCCUACAGGAGCGCAUUUGUUAAGUGAUUGUUUGACAAUCAGAUACAAAUAUAUUGACUGGUUGUGUUUAUGCCACAUUAAAAGGCAUAGGCCGCGUGUCCAUAAGGCUAAGGGAAGCAUUCCCUAAAGUAAAUGUAAUUAAAUUGCCAAAAGUAUAUAGCCUAAUUGGCUUACUCCUGUCUAUAGAUAAAAGAAAUCAUAAAAAUAGACUACUGUACCAGAAAGCAUGAUUUGGCCACAGAGGAUCAUUAGCUUCAUAAACAAACAAAGAUUUUUUUAAAAAUCGCAUAGCCCACAGUCGGAAGGGCUGUGGGCUAUGCGAGCUGCAAAUACCAAAUAAUAGAUGAUUGUUGAGUUGCGACUGUCAGUGAAAAGCAGAGACCCAGCCAGGCAUAUUGCAAAAUUUAAAAACACAAUCGCGGGAAAACUGUUUGGAAAGCAAAUGGCUAAGAUAUUACAAUGAAAAGAUUCCAAUCUGUCUUUUAGUUUUCAAAAUUAUUAACUUAAUUGAGGGAACAGUAUGGGUACCAGCGGAGAACUUCGGCCAUAUCCCCGGUGAGUGUGCAUAUUCACUGUCUUUGUCAUUGGGUCAAUGCCACAAUAAUAAUUUCCUCUUCCAGGUUAGAUGGACUUCAUAUUGUAUUUGUGUCUCCACUUUUCGUAGGCCAAUUAUACAUUGAUCAGACAACAUUGUUUUUAUUGAUCUGUUUGUUAUUGUCAACAGAGUAGGCUACCCUGUAUUUUUUGUAGUAUAAAAAAAAUGUGUGCAUGCACUUGGGUGUCCAGUACCGGUAAGAAAUUAAAUCUACUUUAACCCCUGAAUGUGAUAAAUACCACCUUUCCACUCAGUUAUGAAUUCAUCAUUAGACUAAAUUUAUGCUGCGUUCAUAACCAAGUAGGAAGGUAGUAUCUACCAAAUAUGACUGGAAAAAUCCACAUGAAAGCCCCUCCAAAUUCGUCUAUCAUCUAGGUGGCAGUGUGCACCCUUUCAGUUUGUUUGCCAACUCACCAAAGUAGUAAAAGAAGAAAAUGGACUACUUCAAAAUGGAGAUGGCCUCAAUGGUGCUGCCAGUGCACAAAAUGUGAUUCAUUCUAAAGAGUAGGCCCAGAGAAAAUUACACAGAGUACUCAAUAGCCUUCACCAACAAGAGAUAGAAUUCAGGCAACAGACAACCAGCAACGAUAACUUUCAGAAGCAGAUUAAGAGCCUUCGCAAGGUGAAGACACAACCGCAGUCCCACAAAUCUUCACUUGGUGAGAUAACUUUGUGUGAGACACCCUAAUUAGGAUUUGAUCUAUUGACUAGUAAACAAACAAACAUUGUCUUCACAGAGGAAAGCUCUGUCCUAUGUUUGCCAAGAUGUGAUCUGCUAAACUCAAUGUGUUACUACUUUGCAAUUUCUGUCACCAUUGAGCCUAGAAGCUGGGGAGAGGCGAGAAAAGACUGUUUAAGUCAUGGAGCUGACCUGGUUCUGGUAGAUAGCUGGGAGAAGCAGGCGUUCAUAAGUAAGAUGAUACACAAAGUGCAGUUUAACACCAAACCCAUGCACAUGAAAGGGUUAUGGAUAGGACUGAAGGAGGAAGAGGAUACAGAGGGCACCUGGACAUGGGUUAACAGGACUGAGCUGACUCAGGGGUACUGGCAUGAGACAGCCCAAAGACCACUUUGGAAUGGACAGGUACUGGCAUGAGACAGCCCAAAGACCACUUUGGAAUGGACAGGUAUAAUCAUGCAUGAUCUUCUAUGUAUUUGUGUAGACCAACAUGUCAAGCGGUACUUGGUUAAAUGUUUCCACUGUACCAUUAUCAUUCAGGAUAAGACCAGAAUGUCAAUUAAGUAACAUUUAAUUUGGUUUAAAGGUACUGGCAUGAGACAGCCCAAAGACCACUUUGGAAUGGACAGGUAUAAUCAUGCAUGAUCUUCUAUGUAUUUGUGUAGACCAACAUGUCAAGCGGUACUUGGUUAAAUGUUUCCACUGUACCAUUAUCAUUCAGGAUAAGACCAGAAUGUCAAUUAAGUAACAUUUAAUUUGGUUUAAAGGUACUGGCAUGAGACAGCCCAAAGACCACUUUGGAAUGGACAGGUAUAAUCAUGCAUGAUCUUCUAUGUAUUUGUGUAGACCAACAUGUCAAGCGGUACUUGGUUAAAUGUUUCCACUGUACCAUUAUCAUUCAGGAUAAGACCAGAAUGUCAAUUAAGUAACAUUUAAUUUGGUUUAAAGGUACUGGCAUGAGACAGCCCAAAGACCACUUUGGAAUGGACAGGUAUAAUCAUGCAUGAUCUUCUAUGUAUUUGUGUAGACCAACAUGUCAAGCGGUACUUGGUUAAAUGUUUCCACUGUACCAUUAUCAUUCAGGAUAAGACCAGAAUGUCAAUUAAGUAACAUUUAAUUUGGUUUAAAGGUACUGGCAUGAGACAGCCCAAAGACCACUUUGGAAUGGACAGGUAUAAUCAUGCAUGAUCUUCUAUGUAUUUGUGUAGACCAACAUGUCAAGCGGUACUUGGUUAAAUGUUUCCACUGUACCAUUAUCAUUCAGGAUAAGACCAGAAUGUCAAUUAAGUAACAUUUAAUUUGGUUUAAAGGUACUGGCAUGAGACAGCCCAAAGACCACUUUGGAAUGGACAGGUAUAAUCAUGCAUGAUCUUCUAUGUAUUUGUGUAGACCAACAUGUCAAGCGGUACUUGGUUAAAUGUUUCCACUGUACCAUUAUCAUUCAGGAUAAGACCAGAAUGUCAAUUAAGUAACAUUUAAUUUGGUUUAAAGGUACUGGCAUGAGACAGCCCAAAGACCACUUUGGAAUGGACAGGUAUAAUCAUGCAUGAUCUUCUAUGUAUUUGUGUAGACCAACAUGUCAAGCGGUACUUGGUUAAAUGUUUCCACUGUACCAUUAUCAUUCAGGAUAAGACCAGAAUGUCAAUUAAGUAACAUUUAAUUUGGUUUAAAGGUACUGGCAUGAGACAGCCCAAAGACCACUUUGGAAUGGACAGGUAUAAUCAUGCAUGAUCUUCUAUGUAUUUGUGUAGACCAACAUGUCAAGCGGUACUUGGUUAAAUGUUUCCACUGUACCAUUAUCAUUCAGGAUAAGACCAGAAUGUCAAUUAAGUAACAUUUAAUUUGGUUUAAAGGUACUGGCAUGAGACAGCCCAAAGACCACUUUGGAAUGGACAGGUAUAAUCAUGCAUGAUCUUCUAUGUAUUUGUGUAGACCAACAUGUCAAGCGGUACUUGGUUAAAUGUUUCCACUGUACCAUUAUCAUUCAGGAUAAGACCAGAAUGUCAAUUAAGUAACAUUUAAUUUGGUUUAAAGGUACUGGCAUGAGACAGCCCAAAGACCACUUUGGAAUGGACAGGUAUAAUCAUGCAUGAUCUUCUAUGUAUUUGUGUAGACCAACAUGUCAAGCGGUACUUGGUUAAAUGUUUCCACUGUACCAUUAUCAUUCAGGAUAAGACCAGAAUGUCAAUUAAGUAACAUUUAAUUUGGUUUAAAGGUACUGGCAUGAGACAGCCCAAAGACCACUUUGGAAUGGACAGGUAUAAUCAUGCAUGAUCUUCUAUGUAUUUGUGUAGACCAACAUGUCAAGCGGUACUUGGUUAAAUGUUUCCACUGUACCAUUAUCAUUCAGGAUAAGACCAGAAUGUCAAUUAAGUAACAUUUAAUUUGGUUUAAAGGUACUGGCAUGAGACAGCCCAAAGACCACUUUGGAAUGGACAGGUAUAAUCAUGCAUGAUCUUCUAUGUAUUUGUGUAGACCAACAUGUCAAGCGGUACUUGGUUAAAUGUUUCCACUGUACCAUUAUCAUUCAGGAUAAGACCAGAAUGUCAAUUAAGUAACAUUUAAUUUGGUUUAAAGGUACUGGCAUGAGACAGCCCAAAGACCACUUUGGAAUGGACAGGUAUAAUCAUGCAUGAUCUUCUAUGUAUUUGU